Molecule: ribosomal RNA, 660 nt
Filed under: uncultured Alphaproteobacteria bacterium
Lineage: Bacteria; Pseudomonadati; Pseudomonadota; Alphaproteobacteria
Description: bacterial SSU rRNA
Rfam family: Bacterial small subunit ribosomal RNA
Source: RNAcentral
UACUGAGUGGCGAACGGGUGAGUAUAAUGUAGGUAUCUGCCUUUUGGUUUGGAAUAACACGAGGAAACUUGUGCUAAUACCGGAUAAGCCUUCACAGGGAAAGUUUUAACGCCAAAAGAUGAGCCUGCACUUGAUUAGCUAGUUGGUAAGGUAAUGGCUUACCAAGGCUACGAUCAAUAGCUGUUCUUAGAGGAAGAUCAGCCACAUUGGGACUGAGACACGGCCCAAACUCCUACGGGAGGCAGCAGUGGGGAAUCUUGCACAAUGGGGGAAACCCUGAUGCAGCGAUGCCGCGUGAGUGAAGAAGGCCUUUGGGUUGUAAAGCUCUUUCGUCGGGGAAGAAAAUGACUGUACCCGAAUAAGAAGGUCCGGCUAACUUCGUGCCAGCAGCCGCGGUAAUACGAAGGGACCUAGCGUAGUUCGGAAUUACUGGGCUUAAAGAGCACGUAGGUGGUUAAAAAAGUUGGUGGUGAAAUCCCAAGGCUUAACCUUGGAACUGCCACCAAAACUUUUUAGCUAGAGUAUGAUUGAGGUAAGCGGAAUUUCUAGUGUAGAGGUGAAAUUCGUAGAUAUUAGAAAGAACACCAAUUGCGAAGGCAGCUUUCUGGAUCAUUACUGACACUGAGGUGCGAAAGCAUGGGUAGCGAAGAGGAUUAGAUA